This 420-nucleotide transfer RNA is filed under the name Wilmottia murrayi KOVACIK-ANT 2003/11a. RNAcentral's name for it is "partial 16S-23S ribosomal RNA intergenic spacer". The stretch from base 124 to 197 matches the Rfam family "tRNA". Lineage: Bacteria; Bacillati; Cyanobacteriota; Cyanophyceae; Coleofasciculales; Wilmottiaceae. The record is from RNAcentral.
UUUUAGGGAGACCUGUUUCACAAUUGGCACGAAGAUGAGAGUCUUAGUCCGAAAGUGAAAGCAUCCCAAGGUCGUGCGAGGCAGUAGACUUAAACUUUUAAACUAUUAACCGGUUCGGUGCAUGGGCUAUUAGCUCAGGUGGUUAGAGCGCACCCCUGAUAAGGGUGAGGUCCCUGGUUCGAGUCCAGGAUGGCCCAUCCUNUGCACCGGGAGUGAAGUAAACUAUUAACUAAACCUUCAGCACCUUAUCCUGGCAACAAUCAAAACCUGAUUGAUGGCAAGAGAGAAUGCUGGGCGUUAAGUCCAGUCAUGUACCUUGAAAACUGCAUAGCAAAAAGAAGAGAAACUUGAGUAAAUAUCUAGUAGCAAGUACUUAUUUAUUAAGUGCAGGCAGUUAGAGAAGCAAUCAAGCAACAGUAA